Molecule: long non-coding RNA, 969 nt
Organism: Patella vulgata (common limpet)
Lineage: Eukaryota; Metazoa; Mollusca; Gastropoda; Patellidae
Exons: 6
Source: RefSeq, a predicted model, not a curated record
ACUGUGAUUCAAGAAAUUGUUAAUGGGAAGGAUCUGGAAGAAGUAUUUAAAAGUCCAAAAUUAGGAAGAGGAUUGAGGGAGAAGAAAAGAAAAACACUGUCUAGCAGUGACGAAGAAUGUGAGAAUAGUGAUGAGAAUACCGCACAUAGUAAUAACAGCAGAAAGGUCCUGAAAAAAAAAAAGAUCGAUUCUGUCAAGAAAGCUAAUAAUAGUAUUUUACAUAUGUAUAAGAGGGCGAGAAAUAUUGAAAAUUCAUUACAGAUGCGUCCAUUAGAAAACAGCAAGGAUUCCGACAGUGACCAUACGACAUGCAGUGAACCCGACACGGAUGAUGAAAGAACUCAUAUCACAACUCUUAAAAAAUCUAAUUGGAAACUGCAGCAAGACGCUAAAUUAUACAGACAAAAUAUAAAAAAUUUAACUUCCAUCAUAGCUUUGAAUAAAAAAUUACCAGACUUGCUUCAAGAAACGGAAAACCUGAUUUCUAAAUUACCAGACUUAGUCCAAGAAACGGAGAACCUGAUUUCUAAACUGAAGAAGAAAGAAGAGGGGGACGAAUCUUUUAUAUCAUUAAAGGAAGUCGAUACUACCUACGAUACAGAAAAGGAGGUUGUUAAUCGUGAAAAUAGAUCACCUAACACUAGUUUUAUAACUGCAGAGCUGCUUAACGAAUGCUCAAAAGAGAAUCCACAAAAGUUCAUCAAUGAUAUAAUGCAUGGUUUAUAUGACGAUGAGUAUAUGGCAACACAUUCCAUCACAGGAUUCAAGCGCAGCAAAUCCACUGACGAGAUAAAAGAUCCGAUGGAUAAGUUGCAUGGGACAAUGCUUAUAGCCCAGCUUCAAACAACAUUUCCAACAAUAUGCAAAAAAGAAUCCGAAGCCAAACGGUAUAUUCGGGCGAAGCUGAAUAAUGCAAAUAAUGCAUCUAAAACAAUUGCAAAAAAAAAGAAAAUCAAACCAAACAACGAG